UCUCUGCGUCUGGAGAACACAGGACGUCCACAGGAAAGUUCUCCCUCCUGCACUCCCGGCUGGCUCUGAAAAUUAUGAAGGCAGAGACGUCCGUGCCUGAUACUGUCCUGGCAGCCACGUGCCCUCAUACACUUGCCCAGACCCUGAAUGUGCUACACGGAGUGACCCCAAUUACACCGUGGGCCCCGGGUGACUGCGACAUCUCUCUUUUCCUUAAAAUAAAGGCUCUAAAAUUGUGUGAUUCCACCUCCCUGAGGCUAAGCGAAAGAGCCGCGUCUGCCCCUGUCCUUCCCGGGGGCUGGCAGGGAGUGGGUGCCCGGCGGUGACUCAGCCCUGCAGCCUCCCAGCCCUUCCCCGUAUGCGGGCAGGUGAUGCGGACGCCUCCGACCCUCGUGGGGUUUGUGGAGAGCGUUGAUCAGCGCUGCCGUCAGA
Molecule: long non-coding RNA, 432 nt
Filed under: Homo sapiens (human)
Lineage: Eukaryota; Metazoa; Chordata; Mammalia; Primates; Hominidae
Description: HSALNT0355460
Source: RNAcentral